Molecule: ribosomal RNA, 478 nt
Filed under: uncultured bacterium
Lineage: Bacteria
Description: partial 16S ribosomal RNA
Rfam family: Bacterial small subunit ribosomal RNA
Source: RNAcentral
GAUGAACGCUGGCGGCGUGCUUAACACAUGCAAGUCGAACGGGAAACCUUUUAUUGAAGCUUCGGCAGAUUUAGCUGGUUUCUAGUGGCGGACGGGUGAGUAACGCGUGGGUAACCUGCCUUAUACAGGGGGAUAACAGUCAGAAAUGGCUGCUAAUACCGCAUAAGCGCACAGAGCUGCAUGGCUCAGUGUGAAAAACUCCGGUGGUAUAAGAUGGACCCGCGUUGGAUUAGCUGGUUGGUGGGGUAACGGCCCACCAAGGCGACGAUCCAUAGCCGGCCUGAGAGGGUGAACGGCCACAUUGGGACUGAGACACGGCCAAGACUCCUACGGGAGGCAGCAGUGGGGAAUAUUGCACAAUGGGGGAAAGCCUGAUGCAGCGACGCCGCGUGAAGGAAGAAGUAUCUCGGUAUGUAAACUUCUAUCAGCAGGGAAGAUAAUGACGGUACCUGACUAAGAAGCCCCGGCUAACUACGUG